This 24-nucleotide non-coding RNA is filed under the name Arabidopsis thaliana (thale cress). Lineage: Eukaryota; Viridiplantae; Streptophyta; Magnoliopsida; Brassicales; Brassicaceae. The record is from RNAcentral.
UAAUAUAUGGUCUGCUAGAGGACG